Bombus impatiens (common eastern bumble bee) is the source of this 392-nucleotide long non-coding RNA. RefSeq lists it as uncharacterized. The record is from RefSeq and is a predicted model, not a curated record. The transcript is spliced from 2 exons. NCBI's taxonomy places the organism in Eukaryota, Metazoa, Arthropoda, Insecta, Hymenoptera, Apidae.
AUAUUGGUCACUAAAAUGAUAAUGGAAAAGUUUCCUCGCAUACGCAAGUAUUAUUUUCCACUUCCAUGCAAUUCUACUUUAAAAAAUACAACAGAAUAUGUCUAUGAAUUUGCUUCAUCUGUAACCAAAAGCUUCUAACUUUAUAAACAAUUUUCUAUGUACAAGAUCUACACGUUUACAAUGUCAAUACAUUGAUCAUCUAAUCAACUUAAGUUCACAAAGAAUCACAUGAUAUAUAUAUAUAAGUAUAUAUAUAUAUAUAUAUAUAGGAACUUUCUCCUUGCAAUGCCGGAUUUAUUUCAUCGUAGCAGAAGCCAUCAAUAAAGAAUAAGAAACUCAUUUUACCAGCGACAAGAUCAUCUGCAACGGAUUCCGAUUGGCACUUGAAUACG